This 71-nucleotide transfer RNA is filed under the name Chamaesiphon sp. Its description in RNAcentral is "tRNA-Gly". It matches the Rfam family "tRNA". Rfam says of the family: Transfer RNA (tRNA) molecules are approximately 80 nucleotides in length. Lineage: Bacteria; Bacillati; Cyanobacteriota; Cyanophyceae; Gomontiellales; Chamaesiphonaceae. The record is from RNAcentral.
GCGAGCGUAGUUUAGUGGUAAAACUACAGCCUUCCAAGCUGUUGUUGUGGGUUCGAUUCCCACCGCUCGCU